RNAcentral lists this ribosomal RNA (459 nucleotides) under uncultured bacterium. RNAcentral describes it as "partial 16S ribosomal RNA". It matches the Rfam family "Bacterial small subunit ribosomal RNA", at positions 338 to 795 of the family's 1533-position model. The record is from RNAcentral.
CCUACGGGAGGCAGCAGUGAGGAAUAUUGGUCAAUGGGCGCGAGCCUGAACCAGCCAAGUCGCGUGAGGGAAGACGGUCCUAUGGAUUGUAAACCUCUUUUGUCGGGGAGCAAAAGACGCCACGCGUGUCGUUCCGAGAGUACCCGAAGAAAAAGCAUCGGCUUACUCCGUGCCCGCAGCCGCGGUAAUACGGAGGAUGCGAGCGUUAUCCGGAUUUAUUGGGGUUAAAGGGUGCGCAGGGGGAAGAAAAAGUCAGCGGUAAAAUUGGGGGGCUCAACCUCUUCGAGCCGUUGAAACUGGUGUUCUUGAGUGAGUGAGAAGUAUGCGGAAUGCGUGGUGUAGCGGUGAAAUGCAUAGAUAUCACGCAGAACUCCGAUUGCGAAGGCAGCAUACCGGCGCUCAACUGACGCUCAUGCACGAAAGUGUGGGUAUCGAACAGGAUUAGAUACCCGUGUAGUC